UACAGAGGGGGCAAGCGUUGUCCGGAAUUACUGGGCGUAAAGGGCGCGUAGGCGGCCUUCUAAGUCGAACGUGAAAUCCCCGGGCUCAACCCGGGAACUGCGUCCGAUACUGGAAGGCUUGAAUCCGGGAGAGGGAUGCGGAAUUCCAGGUGUAGCGGUGAAAUGCGUAGAUAUCUGGAGGAACACCGGUGGCGAAGGCGGCAUCCUGGACCGGCAUUGACGCUGAGGCGCGAAAGCCAGGGGAGCAAACGGG
This 253-nucleotide ribosomal RNA is filed under the name uncultured bacterium. RNAcentral's name for it is "partial 16S ribosomal RNA". It matches the Rfam family "Bacterial small subunit ribosomal RNA", at positions 524 to 776 of the family's 1533-position model. The record is from RNAcentral.